UCGUUCAAAUACUCAUCUUUCUAGGAAGGUAUUACCUCAGGAAACGUUUCUUCUGUUGAACUGCUGUUGCAUGACUCCAUGGAAAUUGGAGUAUCAGACUGUGAUUCAGUUAGGAUAUCUUUUAAGCAUUUCUUACUCGAGCUUCUCAUGGUUUCUGCGUAACAGCCCUGUGUCAAAUGUGGAAUAGCUAUUGCAUCAUUUAGGACCCUGAAAUCUUGAUUAUCAGAUCCCAUUAUUGGUAAUGUAUUCUGUAUAAUCAAGGUGGACCUAACAGACCCGGUUUUUCCUCUAGGUUAAACAUUAUAAACAAGUUGAAGGAAUGUAUCCUUUAUGUUUUCUGUGCCUUUUUUUUUUUUCCUGUGUUGUUUCUGGAUAUGCAACUUGAUUUACAUACAUCGAUAGAUGGUCUGCAUGCGCAUAUGGAAAUAGUUAAUCUUCAAGUUUCUGAAAGAAUUCAAUUCUAUACUUAAUUACUCCCAAGAUAAAACAUAGGCAAAGACUCACCCUAAGAUUGCUCCCUUGGCUUUUCCCAUUGGCACUUCUGAAAACUGGUUCCCUGUUCAUAGUCAUUAAUUAAUAACGAGAUAUGGCUAGUUCAAGAGUAUUGAGCAUUUCCCAGAGAAAGAAUUGUUUAAAAAAUUUAUAAUAGUAAAAGACAAGAUGCAUAAGUAUGUAAGUUCUAUUUUACUAGUUCAAAGUCUAAUUUAGCAAUCACUUUGCCAUAAAGCAUGUAAGUGCCAACCAGUUGAGAUGAAAUGAGCGUCAAGAAAAACUCUCACAUUAUGUACUUUGAUUUGUCGUCUGGGACAGCAUUGUCUAUGCUUGCAAGGUGCUUUGGAUCAUGCUCACCAUUAGACAUGAUCUGGUAAUAUAACAACCAGGCUUUAUAUUCCUUAGCCAUCCAUCCCAUAAUUUCAUUGGCCUGAUCCUCAUCAAGAUCUAUGACAGUGGCUGAUUUUGAUAACCUACUCCCAGGUCUUUCCUGCCUUUUAUGCCUGAUGUACAUAUGCAUGAUACUUUGGCAAAGCUCUGGCGCGAAUUCAUCACGGACAAGCCUAGGGGAAACAAGAAGAGCUUGAAGAAAGUGUAAUGCAGCCUGCCAAUCAUCUUUUUGGAGCUUCCGGACAACUGAUAGGUAAAAGUAGGAGCAACAGAUCAAAUAUUCAUUG
This 1169-nucleotide long non-coding RNA is filed under the name Coffea arabica (coffee). Its description in RNAcentral is "long non-coding RNA (CARA_LNC002404)". The record is from RNAcentral. Lineage: Eukaryota; Viridiplantae; Streptophyta; Magnoliopsida; Gentianales; Rubiaceae.